This 127-nucleotide signal recognition particle RNA is filed under the name Helianthus annuus (common sunflower). RNAcentral's name for it is "Protozoan signal recognition particle RNA". It matches the Rfam family "Plant signal recognition particle RNA", at positions 111 to 236 of the family's 305-position model. Lineage: Eukaryota; Viridiplantae; Streptophyta; Magnoliopsida; Asterales; Asteraceae. The record is from RNAcentral.
GUUCCAAGUUGUGAGUUGGACCAUGUGGCUUGAGCGAAAGCUUGGGCCACAUGGUUCCUAAAGCAGGGGGCACUGCGUAAGGCUGGUUUCACAGAGCUGCGAAAACCCCUCGCUCAUGACAGUGGAA